GACGAGCGCUGGCGGCGUGCUUAACACAUGCAAGUCGAACGGAAAGGCCCUGCUUUUGUGGGGUGCUCGAGUGGCGAACGGGUGAGUAACACGUGAGUAACCUGCCCUUGACUUUGGGAUAACUUCAGGAAACUGGGGCUAAUACCGGAUAGGAGCUCCUGCUGCAUGGUGGGGGUUGGAAAGUUUCGGCGGUUGGGGAUGGACUCGCGGCUUAUCAGCUUGUUGGUGGGGUAGUGGCUUACCAAGGCUUUGACGUGUAGCCGGCCUGAGAGGGUGACCGGCCACAUUGGGACUGAGAUACGGCCCAGACUCCUACGGGAGGCAGCAGUGGGGAAUAUUGCACAAUGGGCGGAAGCCUGAUGCAGCAACGCCGCGUGCGGGAUGACGGCCUUCGGGUUGUAAACCGCUUUCGCCUGUGACGAAGCGUGAGUGACGGUAAUGGGUAAAGAAGCACCGGCUAACUACGUG
This 468-nucleotide ribosomal RNA is filed under the name uncultured bacterium. Its description in RNAcentral is "partial 16S ribosomal RNA". It matches the Rfam family "Bacterial small subunit ribosomal RNA", at positions 28 to 507 of the family's 1533-position model. The record is from RNAcentral.